RNAcentral lists this ribosomal RNA (523 nucleotides) under Staphylococcus sp. AmSamHH14. RNAcentral's name for it is "bacterial SSU rRNA". It matches the Rfam family "Bacterial small subunit ribosomal RNA", at positions 83 to 593 of the family's 1533-position model. The record is from RNAcentral. Lineage: Bacteria; Bacillati; Bacillota; Bacilli; Caryophanales; Staphylococcaceae.
CCUUUGACGUUAGCGGCGGACGGGUGAGUAACACGUGGGUAACCUACCUAUAAGACUGGGAUAACUUCGGGAAACCGGAGCUAAUACCGGAUAACAUUUGGAACCGCAUGGUUCUAAAGUGAAAGAUGGUUUUGCUAUCACUUAUAGAUGGACCCGCGCCGUAUUAGCUAGUUGGUAAGGUAACGGCUUACCAAGGCGACGAUACGUAGCCGACCUGAGAGGGUGAUCGGCCACACUGGAACUGAGACACGGUCCAGACUCCUACGGGAGGCAGCAGUAGGGAAUCUUCCGCAAUGGGCGAAAGCCUGACGGAGCAACGCCGCGUGAGUGAUGAAGGGUUUCGGCUCGUAAAACUCUGUUAUUAGGGAAGAACAAAUGUGUAAGUAACUGUGCACAUCUUGACGGUACCUAAUCAGAAAGCCACGGCUAACUACGUGCCAGCAGCCGCGGUAAUACGUAGGUGGCAAGCGUUAUCCGGAAUUAUUGGGCGUAAAGCGCGCGUAGGCGGUUUCUUAAGUCUGAU